ACAUGUCUACAUCAUAGCGUUAAUGCAUCGGAUCCCAUUAUAACUCGAAAAUUAAGUGCACUCGGGCUAGAGUAGUACUGGGAUAGGUGACCGCCCGAGAAGUCCUAGUGUUUUACAUGCC
Non-coding RNA from Picea glauca (white spruce), 121 nucleotides. The record is from Rfam. NCBI's taxonomy places the organism in Eukaryota, Viridiplantae, Streptophyta, Pinopsida, Pinales, Pinaceae.